AAGUUGCUGCGUUGUUCGUAUUUAUAACAAAGUUUUAACCUUUAAUGCUAUAAUAGGGAGUUUUACUUCGAAGCAGGAAUGACACGUCUCCGUCUAUACGACAUGGAGGACACGCAGGAAUGUUUCUACGAACACCCACUUUGAGAAGUGGUGGUUUAAAACUUUCUUUUAAUAAUUACGGCAAAUGCGGCGCCUAC
This 197-nucleotide non-coding RNA is filed under the name Bacillus mesophilus. RNAcentral describes it as "6S / SsrS RNA". It matches the Rfam family "6S / SsrS RNA". From Rfam's summary of the family: E. coli 6S RNA was the first non coding RNA to be sequenced, but its function was unknown until recently. It consists of 184 nucleotides that fold into an extended hairpin structure with a large single-stranded internal bulge. Lineage: Bacteria; Bacillati; Bacillota; Bacilli; Caryophanales; Bacillaceae. The record is from Rfam by way of RNAcentral.